RNAcentral lists this ribosomal RNA (244 nucleotides) under uncultured bacterium. RNAcentral's name for it is "partial 16S ribosomal RNA". It matches the Rfam family "Bacterial small subunit ribosomal RNA", at positions 113 to 353 of the family's 1533-position model. The record is from RNAcentral.
ACGCGUGAGGAACCUGCCUCAAAGAGGGGGACAACAGUUGGAAACGACUGCUAAUACCGCAUAAGCCCACGGCUCGGCAUCGAGCAGAGGGAAAAGGAGCAAUCCGCUUUGAGAUGGCCUCGCGUCCGAUUAGCUAGUUGGUGAGGUAAUGGCACACCAAGGCGACGAUCGGUAGCCGGACUGAGAGGAUGACCAGCCACACUGGAACUGAGACACGGUCCAGACUCCUACGGGAGGCAGCAUG